GCGAAAGUGGUGAAAUUGGCAGACACGCUAGAUUUAGGCUCUAGUGCCGAGAGGCUUAGGGGUUCAAGUCCCCUCUUUCGCA
Molecule: transfer RNA, 82 nt
Filed under: Treponema sp.
Lineage: Bacteria; Pseudomonadati; Spirochaetota; Spirochaetia; Treponematales; Treponemataceae
Description: tRNA-Leu
Rfam family: tRNA
About the family: Transfer RNA (tRNA) molecules are approximately 80 nucleotides in length. Their secondary structure includes four short double-helical elements and three loops (D, anti-codon, and T loops). Further hydrogen bonds mediate the characteristic L-shaped molecular structure. tRNAs have two regions of fundamental functional importance: the anti-codon, which is responsible for specific mRNA codon recognition, and the 3' end, to which the tRNAs corresponding amino acid is attached (by aminoacyl-tRNA synthetases). tRNAs cope with the degeneracy of the genetic code in two manners: having more than one tRNA (with a specific anti-codon) for a particular amino acid; and 'wobble' base-pairing, i.e. permitting non-standard base-pairing at the 3rd anti-codon position.
Source: RNAcentral